Molecule: transfer RNA, 68 nt
Filed under: Moechotypa diphysis
Lineage: Eukaryota; Metazoa; Arthropoda; Insecta; Coleoptera; Cerambycidae
Description: tRNA-Met
Source: RNAcentral
AAAAAGGUAAGCUAAGUAAAGCUAAUGGGUUCAUACCCCAUUUAUGGAAGAAAGGCUUCCUCUUUUUA